GAUGAACGCUGGCGGUGUGCCUAAUACAUGCAAGUCGAGCGAACAGACGAGGAGCUUACUCCUCUGACGUUAGCGGCGGACGGGUGAGUAACACGUGGAUAACCUACCUAUAAGACUGGGAUAACUUCGGGAAACCGGAGCUAUACCGGAUAACAUGUUGAACCGCAUGGUUCAACAGUGAAAGACGGUCUUGCUGUCACUUAUAGAUGGAUCCGCGUCGCAUUAGCUAGUUGGUAAGGUAACGGCUUACCAAGGCAACGAUGCGUAGCCGACCUGAGAGGGUGAUCGGCCACACUGGAACUGAGACACGGUCCAGACUCCUACGGGAGGCAGCAGUAGGGAAUCUUCCGCAAUGGGCGAAAGCCUGACGGAGCAACGCCGCGUGAGUGAAGAAGGUCUUCGGAUCGUAAAACUCUGUUAUUAGGGAAGAACAAAUGUGUAAGUAACUAUGCACGUCUUGACGGUACCUAAUCAGAAAGCCACGGCUAACUACGUG
RNAcentral lists this ribosomal RNA (496 nucleotides) under uncultured bacterium. RNAcentral's name for it is "partial 16S ribosomal RNA". It matches the Rfam family "Bacterial small subunit ribosomal RNA", at positions 28 to 507 of the family's 1533-position model. The record is from RNAcentral.